AUUUAAAAAAUAUAAAAAUAUAUACUAAAAUUGGAACGACACAGAGAAGUUUAGCAUGGCCCCUGCACAAGGAUGAUUUGCAAAUUCAUGAGGUGUUCCAUAUUUUA
This is a small nuclear RNA of Heterocephalus glaber (naked mole-rat), 107 nucleotides long. Lineage: Eukaryota; Metazoa; Chordata; Mammalia; Rodentia; Bathyergidae. The record is from Ensembl.